CUCCUCACGAGUCACGACUUCACUAAGCCAUCAUCUCCGAUUCUCUGGAGACUGCCGCUCACAGAUAUGCGACAACCACUCGGUCUCCGGUUUUCCACCGCUCACAGCCUUGUCUCCGUCUCCGGAAACCCUAGAUCUACCUACGAGGCUUCGAGUUUUUAGAUUUCUCCGGUGACCGAGGCAGAAAACAAGGACGUUGCACUCCAACAGUUGGUUGAAGUUUCUGUUGCUAAUGAUCAAUCUAUGUGGAAUAAGGUAAUAUUGAGGAUUAUAUGGAGGAUUCCAUUGAGAUUAUAAUUGAAAAAUUGCUUAAUGUUACCAAGGAUGGUGCU
Ipomoea nil (Japanese morning glory) is the source of this 332-nucleotide long non-coding RNA. RefSeq lists it as uncharacterized. NCBI's taxonomy places the organism in Eukaryota, Viridiplantae, Streptophyta, Magnoliopsida, Solanales, Convolvulaceae. The transcript has 3 exons. The record is from RefSeq and is a predicted model, not a curated record.